ACUUGUCUUUUAAAUAAAGACUAGUAUGAAUGGCAAGACGAAAGUUUAACUGUCUCCUUUAUCUAGUCAAUGAAACUGAUCUCCUGGUACAAAAGCCAGGAUAAUAUAAUUAGACGAGAAGACCCUAUGGAACUUAAAACACGCCUCCACCCACACCAGUUAAAAUAUUUGAUACAUUGGACCGCUGUUUUUGGUUGGGGCAACCACGGAGAAAAAUAAUCCUCCUAGAAACUAAAAUUAAGUAAUACAAGACAAAAUACCAAUACCAUGAAUAUGAUCCAUAUAUAUGAUCAACGAACCAAGCUACCCUAGGGAUAACAGCGCUAUCUUCUCCAAGAGUCCAUAUCCACGAGAAGGUUUACGACCU
Molecule: ribosomal RNA, 367 nt
Filed under: Siphonops annulatus
Lineage: Eukaryota; Metazoa; Chordata; Amphibia; Gymnophiona; Siphonopidae
Description: partial 16S ribosomal RNA
Rfam family: Bacterial large subunit ribosomal RNA
Source: RNAcentral